CGAAAACGAAUUCUCUCUUGAGUGGAUCCUGAGUACGACGGAGCACGUGAAAUUCCGUCGGAAUCUGGGAGGACCAUCUCCUAAGGCUAAAUACUCUCUAGUGACCGAUAGUGAACCAGUACCGUGAGGGAAAGGUGAAAAGUACCCCGGAAGGGGAGUGAAAGAGAACUUGAAACCGUGUGCUUACAAGUAGUCAGAGCCCGUUAAUGGGUGAUGGCGUGCCUUUUGUAGAAUGAACCGGCGAGUUACGAUCUGAUGCAAGGUUAAGCAGAAAAUGUGGAGCCGUAGCGAAAGCGAGUCUGAAUAGGGCGAAUGAGUAUUUGGUCGUAGACCCGAAACCAGGUGAUCUACCCUUGGUCAGGUUGAAGUUCAGGUAACACUGAAUGGAGGACCGAACCGACUUACGUUGAAAAGUGAGCGGAUGAACUGAGGGUAGCGG
RNAcentral lists this ribosomal RNA (439 nucleotides) under Staphylococcus pseudintermedius. Its description in RNAcentral is "partial 23S ribosomal RNA". It matches the Rfam family "Bacterial large subunit ribosomal RNA", at positions 380 to 821 of the family's 2925-position model. Lineage: Bacteria; Bacillati; Bacillota; Bacilli; Caryophanales; Staphylococcaceae. The record is from RNAcentral.